This 404-nucleotide long non-coding RNA is filed under the name Homo sapiens (human). RNAcentral describes it as "non-protein coding lnc-TTC21A-2:1". The record is from RNAcentral. Lineage: Eukaryota; Metazoa; Chordata; Mammalia; Primates; Hominidae.
GGAUGAGACACUUUGGACAUGAGAAGAUGAGGGAAGGAGGCUCUGGGCAAAGGGAAGAGAGUGGCAAAGAAAGAGGUCUUUGUGCCAUCCCCUUGAAUCCAGGCUGGCUUAUGACUUCGGUGGCAGGACACUUUGUGACUUCUGAGGCUGGGUCAUAGAAGGCAAUACAGCCUCCAUCUCUGAUGACAUUGGAACCCAGCCACCAUGCUGUGAGGAAGCCCAAGCGUCCUGUGGAGAGAUUAUGUGGGAGAGAACCAAGGCCCCCAGGCCACAGCAUUGGCUGAGCUCCCAGCCAACAGCCAGCAUCAAUUUGUGGAUAUUCUUGGAAGCAGAUAUUCCAGUCUCAAGAUGAGUUGUCCCAGCUGAUACCACAUUGAGCAGAGAUGAGCUGUUCCUGAUUGUCU